GGCUUAUUGAAUAUAAUUUUAGGUCUGACCUGCCCUAUGAAAUGUUAAAUGGCUGCAGUAUAUUGACUGUACAAAGGUAGCAUAAUCAUUUGUUUUUUAAUUGAAAGCUAGAAUGAAAGGUUUGAUGAGAAAAUUUCUGUCUCUGUGAAAAUUUAUUAGAAUUUUAUUUUUAAGUGAAAAAGCUUAAAUUUAUGUAGAAGACGAGAAGACCCUAUAGAGUUUAAUAUUUUUUAAGAAAUAAUCUUUAUUUAGGGUAUAGAAUUAUUUUUUUUUAGAAAUUAUUUUAUUGGGGUGAUAGAAAAAUUUGUUAAACUUUUUAUUAUUGAAAUAUUAAUAUUUAAAUAGGUGAUCCCUAGUUUUGUUAGGAUUAAAAGAUUGAAUUACCUUAGGGAUAACAGCGUUAUUUUUUUUAGAGUUCUUAUCGAAGAAAAAGAUUGCGACCUCGAUGUUGGAUUAAAAUUUAUUAUUGGUGAAGAAGCUAAUAAAUUAGGUCUGUUCGACCUUUAAAAUUUUACAUGAUCUGAGUUUAAACCGGUGUGAG
RNAcentral lists this ribosomal RNA (541 nucleotides) under Trigonopterus sp. 798 AR-2022a. RNAcentral describes it as "partial large subunit ribosomal RNA". It matches the Rfam family "Bacterial large subunit ribosomal RNA", at positions 1825 to 2625 of the family's 2925-position model. The record is from RNAcentral. Lineage: Eukaryota; Metazoa; Arthropoda; Insecta; Coleoptera; Curculionidae.